CCUACGGGUGGCAGCAGUGAGGAAUAUUGGUCAAUGGACGAGAGUCUGAACCAGCCAAGUCGCGUGAAGGAUGACUGCCCUAUGGGUUGUAAACUUCUUUUAUAUGGGAAUAAAAUGUUCCACGUGUCGGCUUUUGUAUGUACCAUAUGAAUAAGGAUCGGCUAACUCCGUGCCAGCAGCCGCGGUAAUACGGAGGAUCCGAGCGUUAUCCGGAUUUAUUGGGUUUAAAGGGGGCGUAGGGGGAUUGUUAAGUCAGUUGUGAAAGUUUGCGGCUCAACCGUGAAAUUGCAGUUGAAACUGGCAGUCUUGAGUACAGGAGAGGUGGGCGGAAUGCGUGGUGUAGCGGUGAAAUGCUUAGAUAUCACGAAGAACUCCGAUUGCGAAGGCAGCUCACUGGACUGCAACUGACGCUGAGGCUCGAAAGUGUGGGUAUCAAACAGGAUUAGAUACCCCGGUAGUC
RNAcentral lists this ribosomal RNA (460 nucleotides) under uncultured bacterium. RNAcentral describes it as "partial 16S ribosomal RNA". It matches the Rfam family "Bacterial small subunit ribosomal RNA", at positions 338 to 795 of the family's 1533-position model. The record is from RNAcentral.